UUUUGAAUGGCUGAAUUGUAAGCGAGAAGUUGUAAACUUCCAUAUGAGUUUUCUCUUCAUUAA
RNAcentral lists this transfer RNA (63 nucleotides) under Halotydeus destructor. RNAcentral's name for it is "tRNA-Tyr". Lineage: Eukaryota; Metazoa; Arthropoda; Arachnida; Trombidiformes; Penthaleidae. The record is from RNAcentral.